Long non-coding RNA from Magnolia sinica, 756 nucleotides. RefSeq lists it as uncharacterized. The record is from RefSeq and is a predicted model, not a curated record. The transcript is spliced from 2 exons. NCBI's taxonomy places the organism in Eukaryota, Viridiplantae, Streptophyta, Magnoliopsida, Magnoliales, Magnoliaceae.
CAACUAUUUCAAAUGAUUUGUGAGUAUUGAAGUUGAUCAUUUAUGUGACAAGAAAGCUACACCAUUCUGAAUUAGUUCUUGAAGCUCAAAAGUAAAGCUAUGUAGUUCGUGAAAUUUGUAUUGCCCUAGGUUUGACAGAGUGGGGAUGAUUCCUUGAAUUGGUGAUUAAUUGAUCUUAAGAUUUGGAUCAACAUUGAAGGUUCUAAUCUUCAAGUGUUGCGGUGUUUAAUCCAAUAGGAUAUUUUGAUUGAUACAAGACAAUAAACUAAAUUUGUAACUAAAACUAUUAGGGUCGGGAUCCCAUUGAGCGUUUGAUUUCCAUUUGGAUUGUGUCAGUUACUGUUCAUAAGUUGAAGAAACUACCAUGUGUGAUGAUAGCUGAUCCUAACAAUGUUGCUCUUUUCUUCAGUGAUUGAGAAAGGUUGAUAUGCAAAAGAAAUUUGUAUCUUGUAUUCAAAAGAAAGGUUGAUAUGCUAAAGGAAUUUGUAUCUUGUAUUCAAACUUUUUAAAUUUUAAAUUUUAAUUUUUAUCACUGGAUUUUGUUUUUGUAUGGUCCUAGAGGUUGACUGGAAUGAAUAGGCUGGCAUAAAGAGAUAAAUCAUUCAAGAGAAAUCCAUUGUAUGGUUUGAUCCAAUUUGUAUUGCCAAAGACCAAAAAGAUAACAACAGAACAGAACCAAAAAGGGAGAAACAAUAAACAAAAGAGAAACUGCUGUCCCGAUUAAUAAUAGAACCCAUUUAACUUGCCCCCACCCCC